GGCCUUGUAGUCUAGAGGUACGAUACUUGCUUUGGGCGAUGUUGCGACUGCAAGUGGCCUGGGUUCGAUUCCCAACAAGGCCC
Molecule: non-coding RNA, 83 nt
Organism: Boletus coccyginus
Lineage: Eukaryota; Fungi; Basidiomycota; Agaricomycetes; Boletales; Boletaceae
Source: the annotation of a GenBank genome assembly